Molecule: ribosomal RNA, 2095 nt
Filed under: human gut metagenome
Description: bacterial LSU rRNA
Rfam family: Bacterial large subunit ribosomal RNA
Source: RNAcentral
CCAGUGAACUGAAACAUCUUAGUAGCUGGAGGAAAAGAAAGAAAAAUCGAUUCCGUAAGUAGUGGCGAGCGAAAGCGGAAGAGCCCAAACUAGACUUAGGUCUAGGGUUGUAGGACAUUCAAUACGGAGAAAAAAGGUACAUUAUAGUUGAAUUACUUGGAAAGGUAAACUAAAGAGGGUGAAAGUCCCGUAAACGAAAUAAUGUGCACUCUAGAGUGAAUCCUGAGUACGGCGAGGCACGUGAAACCUUGUCGGAAGCAGCGGGGACCAUCCCGCAAGGCUAAAUACUCUCUAAUGACCGAUAGUGAACAAGUACCGUGAGGGAAAGGUGAAAAGAACCCCGGGAGGGGAGUGAAAUAGAAACUGAAACCGUAUGCUUACAAAAAGUUCGAGCCCGUUAAAGGGUGAGAGCGUGCCUUUUGCAGAAUGAACCGGCGAGUUAUCGUAUAAUGCAAGGUUAAGUUGGAAAGACGGAGCCGAAGGGAAACCGAGUUUUAAUAGAGCGAAUAAGUAUUAUGCGAUAGACCCGAAACCGAGUGAUCUAGCCAUGAGCAGGAUGAAGUAGUAGUAAAAUACUAUGGAGGACCGAACCGACGUACCCGGAAACGUGCGCGGAUGACUUGUGGUUAGCGGAGAAAUUCCAAUCGAACUCGGAGAUAGCUGGUUCUCCCCGAAAUAGGUUUAGGCCUAGCCUUGAUGGAAGGAUAGUGGAGGUAGAGCACUGAAUGUGUGAUGGCGUCGUCUAGAUGUACUGAGCACAAUCAAACUCCGAAUGCCAUUAUUACGUAAUCAGGAGUCAGUGUAUGGGUGAUAACGUCCAUACGCGAAAGGAAAAGAAUCCAGAUCGCCAGCUAAGGUCCCAAAAGUUGUGUUAAGUGGGAAAGGAUGUAGAGUUGUAGAAACAGCUAGGAGGUUGGCUUAGAAGCAGCCAUCCUUUAAAGAGUGCGUAAUAGCUCACUAGUCGAGUGACACUGCGCCGAAGAUGUACCGGGGCUAAACACAAUACCGAAGCUGCGGAUUCAUGCGUAAGCAUGAGUGGUAGGGGAGCGUUCUAAAUGCGUAGAAGAUAUACCGUGAGGAGUGUUGGAGCGUUUAGAAGUGAGAAUGCCGGUGUGAGUAACGAAAAAUGGGUGGAAAUCCCAUUCACCGAUUGACUAAGGUUUCCUGGGUAAAGUUCGUCUUCCCAGGGUAAGUCAGGACCUAAGACGAGGCCGAAAGGCGUAGUCGAUGGACAAUAGGUAAUUAUUCCUAUACCACCUAUAUAACUGAAGGAGUGACGAAGGAGGCUAACAUGAGCCGGUUAACGGAUUCCGGUCUAAGCACAAAGGCUGGUACACAGUGAAAUGCGUGAUAUCGUGUGGCUGAAGUGUUAUGGGGAAGCGACGGUUUCGAUCGAAGCGAACUCGUGUGACGCCAAACUUCCAAGAAAAGCUUCUAGGGCUAAUUAUAUAGGUGCCUGUACCGACAACCGACACAGGUGGUCAAGGAGAGAAUCCUAAGGUGAGCGAGAGAACUAUGGUUAAGGAACUCGGCAAAAUGACCCCGUAACUUCGGGAGAAGGGGUGGUCAAGCAAAAAAUACAGCAAUGUAGGAAAGUGUAUUGACCCGCAGUGAAUAGGUCCAGGCAACUGUUUACCAAAAACACAGGUUUCUGCAAACACGAAAGUGGAAGUAUAGGAGCUGACGCCUGCCCAGUGCUGGAAGGUUAAGGUAAGAUGUGAAUCCUACGGGAGGCAGCAUUGAACUGAAGCCCCAGUGAACGGCGGCCGUAACUAUAACGGUCCUAAGGUAGCGAAAUUCCUUGUCAGGUAAGUUCUGACCCGCACGAAAGGCGUAAUGAUCUGGAUACUGUCUCAACCAUAGACUCGGUGAAAUCUUAAUACCUGUGAAAAUGCAGGUUACCCGCGACAGGACGGAAAGACCCCAUGGAGCUUUACUGUAGCUUGAUAUUGAGAUUCGAUAUGUUAUGUAGAGGAUAGGUGGGAGACGUUGAUACUAGGACGCCAGUUCUAGUGGAGUCAACCUUGGAAUACCACCCUUAAUAUGUUGAAUUUCUAACCUAGGUCCAUUGUCUGGAUCAGGGACAGUGUCUGGU